Long non-coding RNA from Antechinus flavipes (yellow-footed antechinus), 4498 nucleotides. RefSeq lists it as uncharacterized. NCBI's taxonomy places the organism in Eukaryota, Metazoa, Chordata, Mammalia, Dasyuromorphia, Dasyuridae. The record is from RefSeq and is a predicted model, not a curated record. The transcript is spliced from 5 exons.
UUUCCAGGAAUGCUCUUAAGUGGACAAUGGACAUGAUUUCAUCAUGGGGGCUGCCUCCUUGAAGAAGGUAAACAUAAAAUGGAAUGGUAUCACAGAAGUUUGUUGAGCAGCUAGCAUUGAUUUGCUCUGAGUCCCUUGAGAUUUACCUUAGACUCCCACAAACAUUUCUCCUCCCUUACUCAAGUGUUUCAUUGUUCAGGAGGUGCCAAUGGGGGAGGGGAAAGAGGUCAGAAUUUUCAUUUGGGCCCUCUGAGAUAGAAAUGGAUGAAAGCAUGAUCCAAGUAUUGUGAAAUGCGUUUUCCACAGGAAGACCCCACACAGAUUCUGAUCAACCUUGUUCCUCUUCUACUAUCAGGCUUUCCUCCAUACUGUCCCUGACCCACAUCCUACUGGAAAUGGAAUUCACCUAUGUUUGUUAGGUGCCCACCCCUCUGACUAAUAUUGAAGAGGUUCUUGAUAAUAUCUCAGAGAAGCUGCAUUUGUGCUUCAAAUCUUGUAUUGUUCUAGUUCCCAGACCUUGAGAAGAUCAGGAUCAAGAAGAGCCAUUCCUGCAUGCAUGUUUUGUCAUGUCUCUCACAGAAUGAGCUUGAAGCCUCAUUUCUACCUUUCAAGCUGUUUUUCUUCUGAGCACUGGGAAUUUUGAGUGAAAUGUCCAGGCUACCAGGCCCAGGGCAAAGAAAUGGUCUUGUGUUAAAGCCACAUGGAGUCUUCAUUUAAUGUUAAAAAACCAAGAUCUUCUGUGCAGCUCUUCCUCUCAGUCCUUUUUAUGAAACUAAAGUAUUCCAUGCUAUCUGAGGAAUGUAUAGUGUGGCUACCUUCACCUUAGAGAAUCUUCUACGUGGAAAGAGAUUCAACUGCUCCUUUGAUCACCUUAAGACCUGAGAAGAAUCCAUUGGCAAGGCACAAUAUUUCCACCAGUGCCAACGAGAGAGCACCUCUCCCAACAGUAGUGAUAGUCGGUAAUUUUUUGGCACUUUCCCUUCAUUUUUCUGCAUUCUAUCACUGGGUUGCAACCCACCAGCGUUUUCAGGGUACAACUCCCUAUUGCAAGUAAGUCAUUAACCAUUCAUUGAAAUGUAAUUAUCUUUUCCUCUCCCUAAACAUUUUAAUUAAUGAGAUGGAGGCUAUGUGUCAAGUCACUGCUAGAUGUAGUCUAAUUGCUAGACCAUGGGAACCAGUCAUGGGCUUCUCUUCAGCUCUGGUGAGUGCUUAGAUUUUUCUAUUUUUCCUUUCAUGAUCCAAGUAUUUAAUAUCCUGUUAAGAUGAAAUGCUUAGCAACCUUCUCAAAGCCCUUGUCGAGGUUUUUUUUUUUUUUUUUUUUUUUUUAAUUUGUUGAAAUCCAGUCAGACAGUGAGAUCAGUGACACCUUCUGGGAGUAUUCUCCCUGUACAUUCAAUGUAGAUUAUGCCCCUAGAGAUCAUUUUUCUCUUUCCAUGUAGCAAUGCACUGCUGAUUAGUAUUUGCUUUUCCUGGAAGGUCUGAAGUGGGCAAUUAGACAUGAUUACACUAGGGACUGCCUCCUUGAAGAAGUGGAGCAUUGGAUAGCAUCCUAUUUCUGAAGUUUGCUGAGAAGCUAGCAUGGACUUGGCUUCCAUGGUGAUGACAAUAUGGAACCAAAGCAGAACAGUAGAAAUGAUUAGUUCUAAGAAUUUGUAAACAUCAGGAUAAACAGGAGCCAUUCCUGCAUGUAUCUUUAGUCAGCAUGGCUGUCUCCUUCAGAAUGGGCUUGAACCCUAUUUCUGCCAUUUAAUCUGUUCUCCUUCCCUGGCCAUGGACACUUUGAGUAGAAUGUCUAAAAAAAUCUCAUUUGUGUCAAUGAAAUGAUCUUAUGCUUAUGCUGAGGUCAUCUGGAGACUUCAUGUGAAGUUUUGGAAAGCAACUUCUGUUUGACAGUUUUUCCUCUUGUUUCUGCAUCUAAAGUAUUCUAUUCCAUUUGAGUAAUCUAAAAUGUGGCUACCUCCACCUUAGUGAAUCUUUUACAUAGAAAGAGACUCAACCACUCCUUUGUUCACCUUAAGACCUGAGAAGAAUCCAUUGACAAGGCACAAUAUUUCCACCAGUACCAAUGAGAAAGCAUCUCUUCCAAAAGUCGUGAUCAUAAAUGAUUUUGUGGUGUUUGCCCAUUGGUCUUUCUGCAUUCUACCACUGGGCUGCAAUCCAACAGCGUUUUCAGAUUGAAAUUCCCUAUUGCAGGUAAGUCUUUAACCUUUGAGUGCAAAGCAAUUAUCUUUCUUCCCUGGCUAAGCAUUUUAUUUAAUUAGAUGAAGGCUAUGUGUCACACUGGUGGAUGGAGUCCUUUUGCCAGUCCAUGGGAACCAGGCAACUGCAGUCUUGGGCUUCUCCUCAGCUCUGGUUCUUGAGUGGGCAAUUGGACCUGAUUUCACCAGAGUGCUACUUCCUUGAAGAAGCCCUGCAUUCCCAUCAGGAGACUUCAUGUGACGAUAAGCAACCAAGAUCUUCUUGCAGCUCUUCCUCUGAGAUCCUGUUUGUGCAUCUAAAGUAUUCCAUGGCAUCUGAGUUAGCAUAAAUGCAGUCACCUUCACCUUCCAGAAACUUCUAGAUGGAAGGAAAGUCAACCGCUCCUUUGAUCACUUAGUCUUGAGAAGAAUCCAUGGGCAAUGCACAAUUAUUUCCACCAGCGUCAAGGAGAGAGCCCCUCUCCCAACAGCUGUGAUCAUAAAUGAUUUGUGUUGUUUUCUGUUAUGGGCCAGAAAUUCUAUACUUAAAACAAGGAUUCUUACAAGGUGCUAACUUCAGUGGAAUUGAUGAGACUGGUUAUCUAGUUUAGCAUGGUGAUUAAUAGUUCUCUAGAUCAGUAUGAUUGAUUUAAUCUUACAACAAAUAAUGGUUCCCUAGUGAUAGAAUGAUUGGUGUAUACUCAAAAUAGAGCAUAUAAAGCUGCAACAAACUCAGCCAGAUCCGAGCCAGAGACAGACUCGGAAGGGCCAGACACAGACUCGGAAGGGACCCAGAGACACAUUCAUUCCAUCAUCCACCUUUGUGGUGGCUGGAGACUGAAGCACAAGCCCUUGGACUCAGAGACAUUCAUUUCCAUCUUCAUCAGCCUCUUAGUGUCUGGCCUGUCUUCCUGCACUUCCCCCACUGAGACCAAGGCUCUUUUGAAAGGCUCUCAAGAAAGCAGGCUGGGUCCCAGGCAAGGAGACAAUAAAGAAUUUGGAUGUUGGAUUUUAACACCUGGCUAGUCUCAUGGUGAUUACUGAAAGGAAGACUGGUCCAGAGACCUCCAGAAAACCAACAGGAACAUUAUAAUUUUCCAUUUGGCCUUUCCGUGUUCUACCACUGAACAGCAAUUCAACAGUUUCUCCAUGUGAAACUCCCUAUUGCAGGUGAAGACUGUGUGUCACACUGGUGGAUGGAGUCCUAUUGCAAGUCCAUGGGAACCAGGCUUCUCCUCAGCUCUGGAUUUUUUCAGGAAGUGUUUGGUGGAUUCUUCCAGGUUCUAUUUUACCCUCCAAUUCUAGGAUACCAGGGCAGCUUUCGUUGACAAUUUCUUGAAAGAUGCUGUCCAGCACCUCUGAGAUACCACUACACACCUGUCAGAUGGGCUAAGAUGACAUGAAAAGAGAAUGAUAAAUGUUGGAGGGGAGAUGGGAAAACUGGGACACUGAUACAUUGUUGGUGGAACUGUGAACGGAUCCAACCGUUCUGAAGAGCAAUCUGGAAUUAUGUCCAAAAAGUUAUCAAACUGUGCAUACCCUUUGAUCCAGCAGUGCUACGACUGGGCUUAUGCCCCAAAGAGAUCUUAAAAGGAGGGAAAAGGACUCGUGUGCAAAAAUGUUUGCGGUGGCAAAAACUGGAAAUGGAGUGAAUGCCCAUCAAUUGGAGAAUGGCUAAAUAAAUUGUGGUACAUGAAUGUUAUGGAAUAUUAUUGUCUGGUAAGAAAUGACCAACAGGAUGAUUUUAGAAAGGUCUGGAGAAACUUACAUGAACUGAUGCUGAGUGAAAUGAGCAGGACCAGGAGAUCAUUAUAUACCUCAACAACAAUAUUAUAUGAUGAUCAAUUCUGAUAGACAUGGCCCUCUUCAACAGUGAGAUGAUUCAAACCAGUUCCAAUUGUUCAGUGAUGAAGAGAGCCAUGUACAUCCAGAGAGAGGACUAUAGGAACUGAGUAUGGACCACGACAUAGCAUUUCCACUGUUUCUGUUGUUUGCUUACAUUUUUGUUUUCCUUCUCAGGUUUUUCUACUUUCUUUCUAGAUCCAAUUUUUCUUAUGCAGCAAGAUAACUGUAUAAAUGUGUAUACAUAUAUUGUAUUUUAUAUAUACUUCAACAUGUUUAACAUGUAUUGUUACCUGCUAUCUAGGAGAGGGAAUGGGGGCAAGGAGGGGAACAAUUGGAACAGAAGAUUUUGCAUAGGUCAAUGUUGAAAAAUUAUCCAUGCAUAUGUUUUGUCAAUAAAAAGCUAUAAUAAUAAAAAUUACAAGAGAAAUCCAAUAAAAAAGAAAUGAGAGAGAGAGAGAGAGAGAGAGAGAGAGAGA